RNAcentral lists this ribosomal RNA (540 nucleotides) under Escherichia coli. RNAcentral describes it as "partial 23S ribosomal RNA". It matches the Rfam family "Bacterial large subunit ribosomal RNA", at positions 984 to 1529 of the family's 2925-position model. The record is from RNAcentral. Lineage: Bacteria; Pseudomonadati; Pseudomonadota; Gammaproteobacteria; Enterobacterales; Enterobacteriaceae.
CACACGGCGGGUGCUAACGUCCGUCGUGAAGAGGGAAACAACCCAGACCGCCAGCUAAGGUCCCAAAGUCAUGGUUAAGUGGGAAACGAUGUGGGAAGGCCCAGACAGCCAGGAUGUUGGCUUAGAAGCAGCCAUCAUUUAAAGAAAGCGUAAUAGCUCACUGGUCGAGUCGGCCUGCGCGGAAGAUGUAACGGGGCUAAACCAUGCACCGAAGCUGCGGCAGCGACACUAUGUGUUGUUGGGUAGGGGAGCGUUCUGUAAGCCUGUGAAGGUGGCCUGUGAGGGUUGCUGGAGGUAUCAGAAGUGCGAAUGCUGACAUAAGUAACGAUAAAGCGGGUGAAAAGCCCGCUCGCCGGAAGACCAAGGGUUCCUGUCCAACGUUAAUCGGGGCAGGGUGAGUCGACCCCUAAGGCGAGGCCGAAAGGCGUAGUCGAUGGGAAACAGGUUAAUAUUCCUGUACUUGGUGUUACUGCGAAGGGGGGACGGAGAAGGCUAUGUUGGCCGGGCGACGGUUGUCCCGGUUUAAGCGUGUAGGCUGGU